Molecule: ribosomal RNA, 161 nt
Filed under: uncultured bacterium
Lineage: Bacteria
Description: partial 16S ribosomal RNA
Rfam family: Bacterial small subunit ribosomal RNA
Source: RNAcentral
AGACGUAUCCUACGGAAGGCAGCAGUGGGGAAUAUUGCACAAUGGGGGGAACCCUGAUGCAGCGACGCCGCGUGAAGGAAGAAGUAUUUCGGUAUGUAAACUUCUAUCAGCAGGGAAGAAAAUGACGGUACCUGACUAAGAAGCCCGGCUAACUACGUGCC